GAUGAACGCUGGCGGCGUGCCUAAUACAUGCAAGUCGAGCGAACGGACGAGAAGCUUGCUUCUCUGAUGUUAGCGGCGGACGGGUGAGUAACACGUGGAUAACCUACCUAUAAGACUGGGAUAACUUCGGGAAACCGGGGCUAAUACCGGAUGAUAUUUUGAACCGCAUGGUUCAAAAGUGAAAGACGGUCUUGCUGUCACUUAUAGAUGGAUCCGAGAUGCAUUAGCUAGUUGGUAAGGUAACGGCUUACCAAGGCAACGAUGCAUAACCGACCUGAGAGCGUGAUCGGCCACACUGCAACUGAGACACGGUACACACUCCUAAGGUAGGAAGCAGUAGGGAAUCUUCCGCAAUGGGCGAAUGCCUGACGGAGCAACGCGGCGUGAGUGAUGAAGGUCUUCGGAUCGUAAAACGCUGUUAUUAGGGAAGAACAAAUGUGUAAGUAACUGUGCACAUAUUGACGGUACCUAGUCAGAAAGCCACGGCUAACUACGUG
This 497-nucleotide ribosomal RNA is filed under the name uncultured bacterium. RNAcentral's name for it is "partial 16S ribosomal RNA". It matches the Rfam family "Bacterial small subunit ribosomal RNA", at positions 28 to 507 of the family's 1533-position model. The record is from RNAcentral.